GUCACUGAUUGUCUUUGUAUACAGUCAUUAAUUGUUUUUUAAUGCCGCCUUCGUGAGGACACGCCCCCUCAUGACGCAGACCCGUCCUAGCCUGAUGACUGGCUGAUUUCAAAAAAGGAAAAUGGCGCGUACUCACAGACACGAACACACCGAGGGGGACGUCUCACCGUCCCGGUGUCGCCACCAGCUCGUGUCACCGCGGGGCUCAGUCCGUUGUUCGUUAAGUUCUCUGUCGUUCACCGGAUCCGGGUUCUAUCCUCCCCCGGUCACGGCCCGGGCCGCUCCUCACCGGACUCUGCUGCUGUCGUCCGACUUCCGGGAACUCGAGACGAGCUUCACUUCACGUCUUUCCACUGAAGCGUCGUCGUCGGCGUUGUCGUCCGUCUUCGAGGCAGCGGCUCGUUGUUUGUGACCGGGGAGGUUGAAAUGAAGUCGUGCAAGAAGAAAAAUGUCAUCGUCUGCCGUUGAGUGCGAACAGAGCUCCAGCUGCCUCUCUGGUAAAUGUAACAUUAAGUGCACAGUUAAUAAGUUAAAGUAUAAUUAUAAAAGCAAAGUUUGCAAACACAAAAAUUUGCCCUUUCACACGCACAAGGAAUGUGGAAAUACUGAAUCACAACUGACAUUAAAUUGCACAGUGUAAUUUUAAUAUAUGUCAAAUCACAAUAUAAAUAAAUAAAACCUUUAUGAAAUAAUUAAAACAAUAUUUCCUAUGUAACAUCAAGUAGGAUUUCACGUGCAAUAAAUUCACACCCAACAAUUUACAGUAGUAUUUUAUAUCGGCUCAUUUAUGGCCAGUUUUUUUUUUACUAUCAAAGAUUUUUCCAACUGUGCUAAAAGUUCUGAUGAGCAGGGUUCCUACGCAGUAUGGAAUUUGAUUUCCGUUAUUUCCGGGUCAGGUUUGUGUUUCCAGGCUGAAGUCUGAACUGACGUGAAUCCAAGGAUACGUGGCAUCAUUUAGAUUAUCCUGGUGAUGAAGUAUGAAUAUUUCAAUAACAAUCCGCACAUGCACAGAAACGGUGACUUUAUGUCUAUGAUAUGUUAACAGUUGGAUCUUAAAAUCAUUUAUUUACAUAAUGAUAUUCAUUUUUAUAAUAAUAUUUACUUAUGGUAGUAUUUAUUUACCUAUAGACAUCUAGCUAUUUGUACUCAGAUGUCAAAUAUAUUCUGAAAAAUCAACAGGGGGAGGAGGACAUUUUUCCUCUGGAAUUUUGAAAUGGAAAAAUGUGAAGAAACCCUGAGUGAGGCAUCAAAACUUCAUAUGCUUCGCAGCAGCAGGACACGAUGG
RNAcentral lists this long non-coding RNA (1285 nucleotides) under Scophthalmus maximus (turbot). RNAcentral's name for it is "lncRNA (ENSSMAG00000031923.1)". Lineage: Eukaryota; Metazoa; Chordata; Actinopteri; Pleuronectiformes; Scophthalmidae. The record is from RNAcentral.